CAUUUAAAGAGUGCGUAAUAGCUCACUAGUCGAGUGACACUGCGCCGAAAAUGUACCGGGGCUAAACAUAUUACCGAAGCUGUGGAUUGUCCUUUGGACAAUGGUAGGAGAGCGUUCUAAGGGCGUUGAAGCAUGAUCGUAAGGACAUGUGGAGCGCUUAGAAGUGAGAAUGCCGGUGUGAGUAGCGAAAGACGGGUGAGAAUCCCGUCCACCGAUUGACUAAGGUUUCCAGAGGAAGGCUCGUCCGCUCUGGGUUAGUCGGGUCCUAAGCUGAGGCCGACAGGCGUAGGCGAUGGAUAACAGGUUGAUAUUCCUGUACCACCUAGCAUCGUUUUAAUCGAUGGGGGGACGCAGUAGGAUAGGCGAAGCGUACGAUUGGAUUGUACGUCCAAGCAGUGAGAUUGAGUGUUAGGCAAAUCCGGCACUCUUAAGAUUGAGCUGUGAUGGGGAGAGGAAAUUGUUUCCUCGAGUCGUUGAUUUCACACUGCCGAGAAAAGCCUCUAGAUAGAUAAUAGGUGCCCGUACCGCAAACCGACACAGGUAGUCAAGAUGAGAAUUCUAAGGUGAGCGAGCGAACUCUCGUUAAGGAACUCGGCAAAAUGACCCCGUAACUUCGGGAGAAGGGGUGCUCUUUAGGGUUAACGCCCAGAAGAGCCGCAGUGAAUAGGCCCAAGCGACUGUUUAUCAAAAACACAGGUCUCUGCUAAACCGUAAGGUGAUGUAUAGGGGCUGACGCCUGCCCGGUGCUGGAAGGUUAAGAGGAGUGGUUAGCUUCUGCGAAGCUACGAAUCGAAGCCCCAGUAAACGGCGGCCGUAACUAUAACGGUCCUAAGGUAGCGAAAUUCCUUGUCGGGUAAGUUCCGACCCGCACGAAAGGCGUAACGAUUUGGGCACUGUCUCAACGAGAGAC
This 910-nucleotide ribosomal RNA is filed under the name Klebsiella pneumoniae. RNAcentral describes it as "partial 23S ribosomal RNA". It matches the Rfam family "Bacterial large subunit ribosomal RNA", at positions 1120 to 2032 of the family's 2925-position model. Lineage: Bacteria; Pseudomonadati; Pseudomonadota; Gammaproteobacteria; Enterobacterales; Enterobacteriaceae. The record is from RNAcentral.